This 114-nucleotide ribosomal RNA is filed under the name Zingiber officinale. The record is from RNAcentral. Lineage: Eukaryota; Viridiplantae; Streptophyta; Magnoliopsida; Zingiberales; Zingiberaceae.
GCAAUCAUACCAGCUCUAUUGCACCUGAUCUCAUCAAAACUCCGAAGUUAAGCGUGCAUGGACGAGAGCAGUACUAGGAUGGGUGACCCCUUGGGAAGUCCUUGUGUUGCACCU